GGAAUCAUUGGGUUUAAAGGGUCCGUAGGCGGGCCUGUAAGUCAGGGGUGAAAGUUUGUGGCUCAACCAUAAAAUUGCCUCUGAUACUGCAGGUCUUGAGUCAUGGUGCGGUUGCCGGAACAUGUGGUGUAGCGGUGAAAUGCAUAGAUAUCACAUAGAACACCGAUCGCGAAGGCAGGUGACCAACCAUGUACUGACGCUGAUGGACGAAAGCGUGGGUAGCGAACGGGAUUAGAUACCCCGGUAGUCCACGCCGUAAACGAUGGAUACUAGCUGUGGCGACUUCGGUCUCCGUGGCCAAGCGAAAGUGAUAAGUAUCCCACCUGGGGAGUACGUUCGCAAGAAUGAAACUCAAAGGAAUUGACGGGGGCCCGCACAAGCGGUGGAGCAUGUGGUUUAAUUCGAUGAUACGCGAGGAACCUUACCAGGGCUUAAAUGCAGGCUGCAUGGGGUAGAGAUACCCCUUUCUUCGGACCGCCUGCAAGGUGCUGCAUGGUUGUCGUCAGCUCGUGCCGUGAGGUGUCAGGUUAAGUCCUAUAACGAGCGCAACCCCUACCGUUAGUUGCCAGCAUGUCAAGAUGGGGACUCUAACGGGACUGCCGGUGCAAACCGUGAGGAAGGUGGGGACGACGUCAAAUCAUCACGGCCCUUACGUCCUGGGCUACACACGUGCUACAAUGGCCGGUACAGAGGGAAGCCACCCCGCAAGGGGGCGCGGAUCUACAAAACCGGUCACAGUUCGGAUCGGGG
RNAcentral lists this ribosomal RNA (750 nucleotides) under Allomuricauda sp. RNAcentral's name for it is "bacterial SSU rRNA". It matches the Rfam family "Bacterial small subunit ribosomal RNA", at positions 547 to 1303 of the family's 1533-position model. Lineage: Bacteria; Pseudomonadati; Bacteroidota; Flavobacteriia; Flavobacteriales; Flavobacteriaceae. The record is from RNAcentral.